This 465-nucleotide ribosomal RNA is filed under the name uncultured Klebsiella sp. RNAcentral describes it as "bacterial SSU rRNA". It matches the Rfam family "Bacterial small subunit ribosomal RNA", at positions 338 to 795 of the family's 1533-position model. Lineage: Bacteria; Pseudomonadati; Pseudomonadota; Gammaproteobacteria; Enterobacterales; Enterobacteriaceae. The record is from RNAcentral.
CCUACGGGCGGCUGCAGUGGGGAAUAUUGCACAAUGGGCGCAAGCCUGAUGCAGCCAUGCCGCGUGUGUGAAGAGGGCCUUCGGGUUGUAAAGCACUUUCAGCGGGGAGGAAGGCGUUAAGGUUAAUAACCUUGUCGAUUGACGUUACCCGCAGAAGAAGCACCGGCUAACUCCGUGCCAGCAGCCGCGGUAAUACGGAGGGUGCAAGCGUUAAUCGGAAUUACUGGGCGUAAAGCGCACGCAGGCGGUCUGUCAAGUCGGAUGUGAAAUCCCCGGGCUCAACCUGGGAACUGCAUUCGAAACUGGCAGGCUAGAGUCUUGUAGAGGGGGGUAGAAUUCCAGGUGUAGCGGUGAAAUGCGUAGAGAUCUGGAGGAAUACCGGUGGCGAAGGCGGCCCCCUGGACAAAGACUGACGCUCAGGUGCGAAAGCGUGGGGAGCAAACAGGAUUAGAUACCCCGGUAGUC